RNAcentral lists this ribosomal RNA (557 nucleotides) under Penicillium glabrum. RNAcentral's name for it is "eukaryotic LSU rRNA". The stretch from base 191 to 344 matches the Rfam family "5.8S ribosomal RNA". The record is from RNAcentral. Lineage: Eukaryota; Fungi; Ascomycota; Eurotiomycetes; Eurotiales; Aspergillaceae.
CUGCGGAAGGAUCAUUACUGAGUGAGGGCCCUCUGGGUCCAACCUCCCACCCGUGUUUAUUGUACCUUGUUGCUUCGGUGCGCCCGCCUCACGGCCGCCGGGGGGCUUCUGCCCCCGGGUCCGCGCGCACCGGAGACACUAUUGAACUCUGUCUGAAGAUUGCAGUCUGAGCAUAAACUAAAUAAGUUAAAACUUUCAACAACGGAUCUCUUGGUUCCGGCAUCGAUGAAGAACGCAGCGAAAUGCGAUAACUAAUGUGAAUUGCAGAAUUCAGUGAAUCAUCGAGUCUUUGAACGCACAUUGCGCCCCCUGGUAUUCCGGGGGGCAUGCCUGUCCGAGCGUCAUUGCUGCCCUCAAGCACGGCUUGUGUGUUGGGCUCCGUCCCCCCGGGGACGGGUCCGAAAGGCAGCGGCGGCACCGAGUCCGGUCCUCGAGCGUAUGGGGCUUUGUCACCCGCUCUGUAGGCCCGGCCGGCGCCAGCCGACAACCAAUCAUCCUUUUUUCAGGUUGACCUCGGAUCAGGUAGGGAUACCCGCUGAACUUAAGCAUAUCAAUAA